This 148-nucleotide signal recognition particle RNA is filed under the name Pan troglodytes (chimpanzee). Its description in RNAcentral is "Metazoan signal recognition particle RNA". It matches the Rfam family "Metazoan signal recognition particle RNA". Rfam says of the family: The signal recognition particle (SRP) is a universally conserved ribonucleoprotein. It is involved in the co-translational targeting of proteins to membranes. The eukaryotic SRP consists of a 300-nucleotide 7S RNA and six proteins: SRPs 72, 68, 54, 19, 14, and 9. Lineage: Eukaryota; Metazoa; Chordata; Mammalia; Primates; Hominidae. The record is from Rfam by way of RNAcentral.
GCUGGGCGUGGUGGUGCAUGCCUGUAAUCCCAGCUACUCAGGAGGCUGAGGCAGGAGAAUCGCUUGAGCCCAGGAGGCAGAAGUUGCAGUGAGUCAAGAUCAUGCCACUGCACUUCAGCCUGGGUGACAGAGUGAAACUCUGUCUCAA